Molecule: long non-coding RNA, 1381 nt
Organism: Leopardus geoffroyi (Geoffroy's cat)
Lineage: Eukaryota; Metazoa; Chordata; Mammalia; Carnivora; Felidae
Exons: 2
Source: RefSeq, a predicted model, not a curated record
CACACAGAGGGAAGACAAUGUGAAGAUACACAUACACAUAGGGAGACAGCCAUGUGACGAUGGAGGCAGAGACUGGAGAGAUGCAGCGGCAGGCCAAGGUCACCAAGGUGGCCAGCCACCAGCAGAAGCUUUAAGAGGGAGGGCUCAACCCUGCCUUCCAGAUCUUUCAACAGGAUCAAGCCUACUGGGAUGAUUUAGGAUAACCUCCCCUAUUUAAAGUCACCUGACUGGAUUUUAAUCACAUCUACAAACUAUCUUCACAGCAACAGCUAGAUGAGUGUUCGAUGGAAUAUGUGGGGACUGCAGCCUAAGCACGUUGACAUGUCAAAGAGACCACCACACAUGUAAGGUGGCUCACUAAGGACGCAGUCCUCUUCCCUCCCCAGCCUGCUAACCGCAAGCUCCUGGACACCUUGGAAUGGAUGACAAUUUUGAGGACGGUCCUCUCUGUGGACUUAAAGGGGUCUAAGGAGCCCACAAAGCUGCUGCUGCUCUCAUCUACUGUUCCCUGAGAUUAGCGGCUCCUUAAGAAUAAAGGCUAAGAUUUUAUAUUUAUAUUUGCAUCUGGCACUGGGUUCAGUGAUCCUUGUAUAGGAUGCUUCAUCAGGGAACGUUGUUUGGAAGGUUUUUGUCUUUGUUGAGUAAAUAUUCUCUCCUGUUCCUAACCUGCCAACCCCCUUGGGCAGCUGCCAAUCUGAGUGCAUUUCCAGCUACUAAUUGAAAUAUUGGUACAACUUGCAUCCCAUCACAGUGUCAUAUAUGGCCAGGUGGCAUCAGGGGGAUAAUGAGAAAUCAUACUAGGGGUGGGAGUGGGGUGAACACACAAAUAGGUUAGAAGAAGAAGCCAUGGCACCUGUUUGUAGAGACAUUUGUAAACAAAAAAGAGCCCAGCCUGCCUAGAUCAGGGUGAAUGUUGACGUCUGGAGACCAUCGUCCUCAGCAUGGCCCGACGGCCUGAGAGAUCUCUUACUCCUGAGUGUUCCAGAUCUUUGGGAGAUCCAGGAUGCCCGUGAUACCAAGGACAAAGGGAAGAGUCUCACAAGCCAGGCCUUGGAGAACCUUUUGUCAUAACCCCUUAUUUUACAGAGACUCAGAGAGGGAGAGUGAUUUGCUUAAAGUCACACAGCCAGCUAGGCUGACAGAUCUGGUACUAGAAGCCAAGGCUCGUGAUUCUGAUGCACUUUUUAAAUUUGCACUAUGCUCUUGUGUCAACCUCAGUGAUGGCACAUUCCAGGAUACUCAGAACUCUAUCUAAGCAUCCAAAAGGGUUAGGCCUAUCUAUCUCUCCAAAGUUCCAGUGAAAUGAUACGUUCUCUGAUGGGAGUAUAUUUAACAUCUGCCCCUUAAAUAAGCAUGAAUUCUAAAUAAAAACGUUUGCAAC